This is a long non-coding RNA of Ictalurus punctatus (channel catfish), 531 nucleotides long. Lineage: Eukaryota; Metazoa; Chordata; Actinopteri; Siluriformes; Ictaluridae. The record is from Ensembl.
CUGGGAUCUGAGAGGUUCCUCAGGGGCGUCAGGAGAACCAGCUGAUUUCAGGAAUCUGCCCUGGCCAACAGGAAGUACAUUCCAGUGCAUCCUGUUUGCGGCCGUCUCUGUCUUCCUGCCCGGAGCAGAACCGUGUCUGUGAUAACCUACAAUAAUAUAUCAGCACCGACACUUAAUCAACACUGAACACACUGACCUCAGAUCAGACCACAGACACUUCAUCAUGACCUGCUCUGUGUGUGUGUGUGUGUGUGUGUGUGUGUGUGUGUGGUGCCCUGUGAUGAACUGAUGUCCCACUCGAUGUUCCUGGGACAGACUCCGGACUCACCCUGGCCCGUGUAAGGUGUUUACUGAAGGUGAAUGAAGAACUCUACAACAGAAGAACCCUUCACUAUACAAAGAACCCACUGAAGAACCUCAGCGUGCUGCAGAUCCUCUCACAACGCCUGAUUUACUCGUGUCAGGACAAGGACAUCUGCCCAUGAACUAAGCGGAUGACGUCAGUGAUGAUGCGACUGCCCAUCCUCCUCC